This 1850-nucleotide unclassified non-coding RNA is filed under the name Hevea brasiliensis (rubber tree). The record is from RNAcentral. Lineage: Eukaryota; Viridiplantae; Streptophyta; Magnoliopsida; Malpighiales; Euphorbiaceae.
CCCAACCCCACUGCCUCUCUCCUCUCAUCCUCCACCGGUCCACACCUGGGCAACCCAAGUGCGCCACUGUACUGUUCUCGUGGCAUCUCCUGCCAUCUUGGAAUAGGAAUCAGAGCGGGAAGACACUAGCUGCAGGCCCAAAACACAGCAGACUUUGAAGAUAGGAGAUAGGAAACAGAGGGAUAAAAAAUCCCAGAAUGAGCUCUUUUAGUCCUUCCAAAAACCAUUCUUAUCGUUCUCUCAUCAGGAAGCUCCUUCCAUGGACCUUUUAUGCUAUCAUCCCUUUGGUUUUCUUCCGCUUGUAUUUCUACCCUUGCACUGUUUCUCACUCCAACCUCAUUCUCAUCUCCUCCUCUCCCUUCUCUUUUUCUCCCUCUACUCUAGAAGAGGAAAGUGCUAAGGAAACUACUCCAUGUGACUACACCAAUGGCGACUGGGUCCGUGACGAGAGGGGCCCUUUGUACAAUGGCACUUCCUGCGGUACAAUCAAGGAAGGCCAGAAUUGCAACUCCCACGGCAGGCCAGAUAUGGGUUACUUAUACUGGAGAUGGAAACCAAAGCAAUGCAAGCUUCCAAGGUUUGACCCCGACACAUUUCUUCGACUCCUUAGAAAUAAGCAUUUAGCAUUUGUUGGUGACUCCAUGGCUAGGAACCAACUAGAGUCACUUCUUUGUAUGCUAGCCACUGCCUCUGCCCCUAAGCUUGUUUAUCGAGAUGGUGAGGAUAACAAGUUUCGCAGAUGGCGUUUUGAUUCUCAUAAUAUAGAUAUAUCUAUAUAUUGGUCACCCUUUCUAGUAAAAGGUGUGGAAAAAUCAAAUGCUGGUCCAAAUCAUAACAAAUUGUAUUUAGAUCAUGUUGAUGAGAGGUGGGCAGCUGAUAUGAACGGAUUUGACUUGAUUGUUCUUUCAAUUGGGCAUUGGUUUCUACAUCCAGCAGUGUAUUAUAAGGGUGAUUCUAUUCUGGGUUGCCAUCACUGUCCUGGUCUUAAUUACACUGAAAUUGGAUUUUAUGAUGUCUUGAGGAAGGCUUUAAAAACUACACUAAAGACUGCAAUUGAGAGAAGAGGGGGCGGUUCUAAUGGCAAUGGGACUAAAGUGAUUCUUACUACCUUUUCACCUUCACAUUUUGAAGGUGACUGGGAUAAGUUUGGUGCUUGUCCAAAAACCAAGCCUUAUCAGGAGGGAGAUAAAUCACUUGAAGGAAUGGAUGCAGAGAUGAGAAAAAUUGAAAUCGAAGAAGUUGAAGCUGCAAAGUUGAGUGCUAUGCAAUUUGAUUAUCUAAGAUUAGAGGCACUGGAUGUGACCAAACUAUCGCUAAUGAGGCCGGAUGGUCACCCAGGACCUUAUAUGUAUCCAUUUCCAUUUGCUAAUGGUGUAACUGAGCGUGUGCAAAAUGAUUGUGUGCAUUGGUGCUUGCCAGGGCCUAUAGAUACCUGGAAUGAGAUAUUACUGGAGGUGAUUAAGAGAUGGGAUUAUCAGUCAAUAAGAGAAGAAUGAGUGAUGACAAUGUGCCAACAUAGAGGGUUUGUCUUUGUGCUAAAUUUUGAUCCAUUUGGGUGGUGUUUAUUGCUCUUGAAGAGAGACAAAAGGAAAGGAGACAACUAGAUAAGAGAGGUUAAGUUGUGCCAAGAAUAAUGAGAUUUUGGAGUAUCUUUUGGUUUUUGUUAAAUGUACAAAUGAUAUCAAUGUGAAGUAAAUAUUAACAAAUGAUAUCAAGGAAACCUUGGCAACAUUCCAAGUGAUUGGGACCUUCCAUUUUGUCUACAGAGCAGUUUCUUUUGGAUGUGAGUAUGCAUCUUGCUUAACCGUUCCAACUUUUAUCCCCUUUUUUUAUGAACCAUCCAAUCUUUU